RNAcentral lists this ribosomal RNA (468 nucleotides) under uncultured bacterium. RNAcentral describes it as "partial 16S ribosomal RNA". The stretch from base 20 to 332 matches the Rfam family "Bacterial small subunit ribosomal RNA", at positions 47 to 358 of the family's 1533-position model. The record is from RNAcentral.
GACGAACGCUGGCGGCGUGCUUAACACAUGCAAGUCGAACGGAAAGGCCCUGCUUUUGUGGGGUGCUCGAGUGGCGAACGGGUGAGUAACACGUGAGUAACCUGCCCUUGACUUUGGGAUAACUUCAGGAAACUGGGGCUAAUACCGGAUAGGAGCUCCUGCUGCAUGGUGGGGGUUGGAAAGUUUCGGCGGUUGGGGAUGGACUCGCGGCUUAUCAGCUUGUUGGUGGGGUAGUGGCUUACCAAGGCUUUGACGGGUAGCCGGCCUGAGAGGGUGACCGGCCAGCUGGGGACACAAGUGCGGCCCGGACUCGUGCGUGAGGCAGCAGGGGGGGAGAGUGGACGAGGGGCGGAGGGUUGAGGCAGGAAAGCGGCUGGGGGGAGGACGGCGGGGCGGUUGGAAAAGACGAGCGCCCGUCACGAAGCGUGAGGGAGGGCAAGGUGUAAAGAAGCAAAGCAGAACUCUGGC